GCCGCGUGUGGGAAGACGGCCUUCGGGUUGUAAACCACUUUUAUACAGAAAUAACGAGGUUACGUGUAACCAAAGUGAAGGUACUGUAAGAAUAAGCACCGGCUAACUCCGUGCCAGCAGCCGCGGUAAUACGGAGGGUGCAAGCGUUAUCCGAAUUCAUUGGGUUUAAAGCGUACGCAGGCGAUUGUGUAAGUUAGUAGUUAAAGGCAGUAGCUCAACUACUCGCAUGCUAUUAAUACUGCACAAUUUGAGUCUUUUAGGAGUGAGUAGAAUUCGUGGUGGAAGAGUGAAAUCUGUAGAGACUGCGAAGAAUACCAAAAGCGAAAGCAACUCACUAAGAAACGACUGACGCUAAUGUACGAAAGCGUGGGUAGCGAACAGGAUUAGAUACCCUGGUAGUCCACGCCGUAAACGAUGAUUACUCGAUGCAUGCAACAUAUCGUGUGCGUCCAAGCGAAAGUGAUAAGUAAUCCACCUGGGGAGUACGCUCGCAAGAGUGAAACUC
Molecule: ribosomal RNA, 505 nt
Filed under: uncultured bacterium
Lineage: Bacteria
Description: bacterial SSU rRNA
Rfam family: Bacterial small subunit ribosomal RNA
Source: RNAcentral